RNAcentral lists this ribosomal RNA (465 nucleotides) under uncultured bacterium. RNAcentral describes it as "partial 16S ribosomal RNA". It matches the Rfam family "Bacterial small subunit ribosomal RNA", at positions 28 to 507 of the family's 1533-position model. The record is from RNAcentral.
GACGAACGCUGGCGGCGUGCUUAACACAUGCAAGUCGAACGGAAAGGCCCUGCUUUCAGGGUACUCGAGUUGCGAACGGGUGAGUAACACGUGGGUGAUCUGCCCUGCACUUCGGGAUAAGCCUGGGAAACUGGGUCUAAUACCUGAUAGGAGCCAUUUUUAGUGUGAUGGUUGGAUAGUUUUUUCGGUGUAGGAUGAGCUCGCGGCCUAUCAGCUUGUUGGUGGGGUAAUGGCCUACCAAGGCGGCGGCGGGUAGCCGGACUGAGAGGGUGGACGGCCACAUUGGGACUGAGAGAAGGCACAGACUCCUACGGGAGGCAGCAGUGGGGAAUAUUGCACAAGGGGCGCAAGCCUGAUGCAGAGACGCCGCGUGGGGGAUGACGGCCUUAGGGUUGAAAAAUACUUUCGCUAGGGACGAAGCUUUUUGUGACGGUACCUAGAUAAGAAGCACCGGCUAACUACGUG